UUGACCUCAAAUCAGGUAGGACUACCCGCUGAACUUAAGCAUAUCAAUAAGCGGAGGAAAAGAAACUAACAAGGAUUCCCCUAGUAACUGCGAGUGAAGCGGGAAAAGCUCAAAUUUAAAAUCUGGCAGUCUUUGGCUGUCCGAGUUGUAAUCUAGAGAAGUAUUAUCCGCGCUGGACCGUGUACAAGUCUCCUGGAAUGGAGCGUCAUAGAGGGUGAGAAUCCCGUCUUUGACACGGACUGCCAGGGCUUUGUGAUAUGCUCUCGAAGAGUCGAGUUGUUUGGGAAUGCAGCUCAAAAUGGGUGGUAAAUUCCAUCUAAAGCUAAAUAUUGGCGAGAGACCGAUAGCGAACAAGUACCGUGAGGGAAAGAUGAAAAGAACUUUGGAAAGAGAGUUAAACAGUACGUGAAAUUGCUGAAAGGGAAACGCUUGAAGUCAGUCGCGUUGGCCAGGGAUCAACCUUGCUUUUUUGCUUGGCUUACUUUCUGGUUGAUGGGUCAGCAUCAAUUUUGACCGGUGGAAAAAGUUCAAAGGAAUGUGGCAUCUUCGGAUGUGUUAUAGCCUUUGUUCACAUACAUUGGUUGGGAUUGAGG
This 593-nucleotide ribosomal RNA is filed under the name Laccaria bicolor. RNAcentral's name for it is "eukaryotic LSU rRNA". It matches the Rfam family "Eukaryotic large subunit ribosomal RNA", at positions 1 to 591 of the family's 3401-position model. Lineage: Eukaryota; Fungi; Basidiomycota; Agaricomycetes; Agaricales; Hydnangiaceae. The record is from RNAcentral.